Molecule: long non-coding RNA, 2507 nt
Filed under: Homo sapiens (human)
Lineage: Eukaryota; Metazoa; Chordata; Mammalia; Primates; Hominidae
Description: HSALNT0062846
Source: RNAcentral
UCUUACUCUCUUGUCAAAGUUGGAGUUGCCAAAGAAAGCAAAGUGGUUAGAAUGUGUCAAACUUUGGCAUUUGUAUUAAACAGAGUUUGAGGAAACCAGGCAGGUUUGACUGAGAAUCUCUUCCUUGUCUUCCAUCCAGUGCAAGAUAGGCCACAUUUUUACAGAGAACUGUCAAAAAAGAAAGUUCACAUUAGAGUCACUCAGCUCCACGUGGGUCCUCUGGUGGCAUCUCUCUCAGUGUCAAAUCCUAAUUGUUAGGACUCCAUGAAUCCUGAGUACUUCAAUGAUUUAAGAACUCUUCCGAAGCUGGUAAUUUGGAAAUUGCAUUGUUAGUAAAUAUGAAUUAAUAAAAAAGCAAAGUCAAGAAUUUUACUGGCAAUGAAACUAUGUUUACUGGUCAUCUCUUAAUUCCAUUUGAAUUCCACAGGCCAUAAACAUGUCUUUUCCUGUCUGUUGUUUUUUUCUGUAACUUAAAUGAGCAUCAUUUCUAGCUAACUAAUGUUUUAAUGUUGACACAUUUCAGUAGAUGGUUUUCUAUACUUUUAGAAUGUCAUAAAUGAUUCUCCAAGAAGUAGAAAUGACUAGGAUACAAACCCUGAGACCAGCAGUUGCCAAAGUCACAAGAGGUGAUUUGUAUGGUCCAGACAGUGAUGCAGGAGCAAAGCCUCCGUUUUGACUUUCAGAGAUUUGGGAGCUGAGAAGAAAAGAUAAUUUCAAACCCCUCUUAGCAUGUAUACUUUACUGGAACAUAUACAUGCUCAAAGAUAUGUGUUAAGUUACUUUUUGAUUAAAGAUAUUUGCUACAAGAAUGUUGUCCAAUCCCCAAACACACCAGGAGAUGUUCUGAGCAUUCUGCAAUGGUUCCAGUGGGUUCCCUGGAUGGUUUGUGAGGGAAUUUGCCAUUUACUGUGUAUUUGCCAUGUCCAGGCUCAUGCUUGGGAACAUCCUGUUUGAUUCCCAUGAGGUAGGUAUUACAAUGCCCAGGCACUGUCCCUUACUCUGCUCUGCCAUCUCACUCUGGUAAAGUUGCUCUGUGGAUUGAUCCCUGUAGGGUUUCCCUGCUAGUCCACUAGAUGUGACGGAAUCCUAGCACAGACUCCAGAUUGCACUGACCAAAAUCCUGUGAUCAAAGUGGCAACAUGACACGUUGUUGUGACCCUGGUAUUCAUACAGGAGGGCAAACUGCGCUGGUCACUCUUUACUAGACAUGCUUUUCUCCUCCCCAGGGGUUUGUUUAAGUCUGUUUCUGCUUGGUUUCCACUGAGAAUUAUACUCUGGGCACGAAAAACGGGGAUUCCUUGCCAUUUCACCUUCCUUCCCAUUCCUAGCUGCCCUCCCAGGGAACUGACAGUUUAUUUCAUUGUUAUUUGGCUUAUGGUUAAAAGAACUGUGGUGAGAAAAGAACUGUGGUGCUUACACAGAUGACAGAACAAGCAAGUCCUGGCUACUGCAAAGAUACACCUGAGCCAGUGUUAGUAGAUCUGAGAAAAACACAUAUUCCUUGACUUGAUUCCAAAGCCCCUGUAACCUGGUCAUCCUAUACCAACCCUCUGUUCCAGCCUAAAGGUCUACACAUGACCCUAAGUUCUCUUUUCUCCCCUCCCAGCUGUAGCCUGAUGCCCAUGAAAGAUGGGGCCUGUACCCCAUGUGCUCACUCCUCCUAGCCCAUUCCAGCGAUGUGGCAUCUAUGCUCCAUUCUGAUUCUCUUGGUCAGGGCCUUGACCUUCUCUCUUGGCCUUGCCAAAUCUUUCCUUUAGGGAGCUGGAUGCUCUUCUUCCCCAGAAGACAUUGCCUGGGGACCUGACUACAUCUAAACAAACCUUCUCAUCAUUUCCAGAACAAAGGACUGUUACCUUCCCAGGCAUGCCCUCUCGACUGCUUCAGACUCUGGCUGUACCAGCUCCACUCACCACAUAAUAAAACUCUUGGGGUAUGAAGGAGGAUGCACACCACCCUGUCUUGGCUCCAACUGGCCACUUCCUGGAAACUCUGGGAUUAGGUGGCUGGCCACUUUCUUUGCAGGGCUCCUAAUGUGUCACCAGCCACAGUUGUUGGUGCUUAGGUAACUGAGGGAGCACUGGAAUGACCACGACCUUGAACAUCAGCACCAGAGUACACAUACCGAGGUGUUGGGAGGACCAGGAAUUCUUGUUCUCUUCUGUCACAGGGCUCAGCUGUCAAAGAUUUCCAAACCUCCUCCAUCUUAGCCACAGCAAUAAAGGGUCUACAAGUUCAUUCUCGGCACUGCACUGGGCACCAUGGGAAAUGCAAACCCUUCAGGCAGCUUAGUAUCCCAGCUUGUCUCUGAGCCAUCACCCCCGGAAAACGAACUGUUCCUCUUGCAAGCCCUCAUUAUGCCCUUAUACCCGCAGCAUUACCUGGGAUCCCACAUGCAGAGAAAGCCAGCCCCUUCUGAAUUAAUUAUGUGACUCAGACACUAGAGGAUGAUGAGUUUAUUUCCUUUAUUAUGAUUAAUACUUUUUUUCCCAAAGAGUUUUUCAAUUCUG